This 71-nucleotide transfer RNA is filed under the name Aureispira sp. CCB-E. RNAcentral describes it as "tRNA-Met". It matches the Rfam family "tRNA". From Rfam's summary of the family: Transfer RNA (tRNA) molecules are approximately 80 nucleotides in length. Their secondary structure includes four short double-helical elements and three loops (D, anti-codon, and T loops). Lineage: Bacteria; Pseudomonadati; Bacteroidota; Saprospiria; Saprospirales; Saprospiraceae. The record is from RNAcentral.
AGACUAUUGGUGUAAUGGAAACACGGCGGUCUCAUAAAUCGCAGCUAUAGGUUCGAGUCCUGUGUAGUCUU